AAACCAGCACCUCAAGUGGUCAGGAUGAUUAUUGGGCCUAAAGCAUCCGUAGCCUGCUCUGUAAGUUUUCGGUUAAAUCUGUACGCUCAACGUACAGGCUGCUGGGAAUACUGCAGAGCUAGGGAGUGGGAGAGGUAGACGGUACUCGGGAGGAAGUGGUAAAAUGCUUUGAUCUCUCGAUGACCACCUGUGGCGAAGGUGGUCUAUCAGAACACGUCCGACGGUGAGGGAUGAAAGCUGGGGGAGCAAACCGGAUUAGAUACCCGAGUAGUCC
RNAcentral lists this ribosomal RNA (274 nucleotides) under uncultured bacterium. RNAcentral describes it as "partial 16S ribosomal RNA". It matches the Rfam family "Archaeal small subunit ribosomal RNA", at positions 473 to 747 of the family's 1478-position model. The record is from RNAcentral.